This is a long non-coding RNA of Melospiza georgiana, 624 nucleotides long. RefSeq lists it as uncharacterized. The record is from RefSeq and is a predicted model, not a curated record. NCBI's taxonomy places the organism in Eukaryota, Metazoa, Chordata, Aves, Passeriformes, Passerellidae. The transcript has 3 exons.
GAUCUGUUGGAGAUUUUAUCCAUUCCUUUCUUGGAAGUUGAGGAUCCCAAGCAUUUUCCAAAACUGAUUGAUGUCACCUCUCAUAAAUCCUGCAUCUCCUGUGAUCAAGACUCAGUCCCUGUGGUGCCCAGCCGCUCAUUUUUGCCCAGACACUCUGCAGGUCUCCAUCAUUUGUCUCAAAUGUCUCAAAUUCCAUGGGAAAGGGACUGGGGGAGGUAACUCCCAUGCUUCACAUAUGAGGCUUGGAUACCCAAAGACACAGUGAGUUUUCACCAAAUGUUCCUCAAAGAACAACUCAGUCUGAGAAAUCCUCCCACAAAUCCUGCACUUAGGCGCGUGAUCAGCCCUGCCAAUCCACUGCAGACUGCAAACAGCCUCAGACAGGACUCCAAACAGUUAAUGUCAAAUAGCUCAUUUUCUCUCAUCUCCAUACAAAUUCCUGUCAUGUUGCAUUACAUGUAAACAACUGAGAAGCUUAAUGGCAUGCCUUUCAGUCAAAAAUUCAUAUGGCUUUUCAGUCUGAGCAGAUUAAUUGCAGUUUGUAACAAUAUGAAGUAAUUCAAUUUGAUUAGAAUUUCUAUUGUUCUUUGAGAUAAAAUAUUUUAUGUGAAUGUAAAGCCAAGU